This 429-nucleotide ribosomal RNA is filed under the name uncultured bacterium. RNAcentral describes it as "bacterial SSU rRNA". It matches the Rfam family "Bacterial small subunit ribosomal RNA", at positions 355 to 776 of the family's 1533-position model. The record is from RNAcentral.
UGGGGAAUUUUGGACAAUGGGCGCAAGCCUGAUCCAGCAAUGCCGCGUGAGUGAAGAAGGCCUUCGGGUUGUAAAGCUCUUUUGUCAGGGAAGAAACGGCCUAGGCUAAUAUCCUGGGCUAAUGACGGUACCUGAAGAAUAAGCACCGGCUAACUACGUGCCAGCAGCCGCGGUAAUACGUAGGGUACAAGCGUUAAUCGGAAUUACUGGGCGUAAAGCGUGCGCAGGCGGUUUUGUAAGUCUGUCGUGAAAGCCCCGGGCUUAACCUGGGAAUUGCGAUGGAGACUGCAAGGCUUGAAUCUGGCAGAGGGGGGUAGAAUUCCACGUGUAGCAGUGAAAUGCGUAGAGAUGUGGAGGAACACCGAUGGCGAAGGCAGCCCCCUGGGUCAAGAUUGACGCUCAUGCACGAAAGCGUGGGGAGCAAACAGG